Non-coding RNA from Gopherus agassizii (Agassiz's desert tortoise), 78 nucleotides. The record is from Ensembl. Lineage: Eukaryota; Metazoa; Chordata; Testudines; Testudinidae.
CAUGCCUUGCCUGGAGGCAUUGUAGAAGCAUUUACAUUGCAGCCCCUGUCAGAUUCUUAUGAAUCUGCAAAUUCUGCU